CACCGCGGUUAUACGAGAGGCCCAAGUUGACAACUCAACGGCGUAAAGCGUGGUUAAGUACCCCCCCCCCACUAGGGCCAAACACCCACAAAGCUGUUAUACGCAUGUUGAGGAUUUGAAGCACCCCCACAAAAGUGGCCCUAAACCCCCACUGACCCCACGAAAGCUACAAAA
RNAcentral lists this ribosomal RNA (174 nucleotides) under Zeus faber (John dory). RNAcentral describes it as "partial 12S rRNA". The record is from RNAcentral. Lineage: Eukaryota; Metazoa; Chordata; Actinopteri; Zeiformes; Zeidae.